RNAcentral lists this ribosomal RNA (735 nucleotides) under uncultured bacterium. RNAcentral describes it as "bacterial SSU rRNA". It matches the Rfam family "Bacterial small subunit ribosomal RNA", at positions 28 to 776 of the family's 1533-position model. The record is from RNAcentral.
GACGAACGCUGGCGGCGCGCCUAACACAUGCAAGUCGAACGAGCGAGAGAGAGCUUGCUUUCUUGAGCGAGUGGCGAACGGGUGAGUAACGCGUGAGGAACCUGCCUCAAAGAGGGGGACAACAGUUGGAAACGACUGCUAAUACCGCAUAAGCCCACGACCCGGCAUCGGGUUGAGGGAAAAGGAGCAAUCCGCUUUGAGAUGGCCUCGCGUCCGAUUAGCUAGUUGGUGAGGUAACGGCCCACCAAGGCAACGAUCGGUAGCCGGACUGAGAGGUUGAACGGCCACAUUGGGACUGAGACACGGCCCAGACUCCUACGGGAGGCAGCAGUGGGGAAUAUUGCACAAUGGGGGAAACCCUGAUGCAGCGACGCCGCGUGGAGGAAGAAGGUCUUCGGAUUGUAAACUCCUGUUGUUGAGGAAGAUAAUGACGGUACUCAACAAGGAAGUGACGGCUAACUACGUGCCAGCAGCCGCGGUAAAACGUAGGUCACAAGCGUUGUCCGGAAUUACUGGGUGUAAAGGGAGCGCAGGCGGGAAGACAAGUUGGAAGUGAAAUCUAUGGGCUCAACCCAUAAACUGCUUUCAAAACUGUUUUUCUUGAGUAGUGCAGAGGUAGGCGGAAUUCCCGGUGUAGCGGUGGAAUGCGUAGAUAUCGGGAGGAACACCAGUGGCGAAGGCGGCCUACUGGGCACCAACUGACGCUGAGGCUCGAAAGUGUGGGUAGCAAACAGG